This 159-nucleotide microRNA precursor is filed under the name Pelobates cultripes (western spadefoot toad). The record is from RNAcentral. Lineage: Eukaryota; Metazoa; Chordata; Amphibia; Anura; Pelobatidae.
GAGGAUGACCAGCACUCACGGAUUUCCAAGAAGUAAUUAAAAAGUUAUAAAUUUAUUAAUCCAUCUCUUAAAAAGCUGCUUCAACGUUUCAGUCCACGUCUGGGACUUUCAUCAGAUUCCUUCUUGGAAAUCCGUGAGUGCUGGUCAUCCUCUCUAUUG